CCUCCUCUUCCUCUUCUUCCUCUUCCUCUCUUCCUCUUCUUCUGCUUCCUCUUCCUCUUCCUCUUCCUCUUCUUCUGCUUCCUCUUCCUCUUCUUUUUCUUCUUCUUCCACUUUCCUCUUCUUUAUUGAGAAUAACACAAUUGGCAUUUUGUAUCAGAAUUAUAGGGACCUGUUCUCUGUUUUCUCUAUUUUUAACGGGUUUUUGAGUGGGAGAGACGUAACAAUUUUGGACGGAAAGCAAAGAAUUUUGGUACAGUUUUAUGUAGACGCCGGGACAAAGAUACGAUGUUUGAACAAGGAGCGGCUUCUACAGUAGCAGCACUCUAAGAUAUGGAGAUGGUGAUGGUAAAGAGGGGGUAGAGAUGGACUCAAUAUCAUUAUCUUUCUUCGGUUUAUUGUAAACAGGUCUAGGGACAUUGCUUUGGUAAUCAACAUUUUGUAAUGUAGUGGUUGAGCUUGGUAAUUCUGAUGUUGAAAAUCUUGGUAAUGUUUGUGGUGAAGUUGGUUCUUUGUAAGGGGCAUAGAUAACAGAAGGUAUAUUCAAUACCCUUCCAAUAUCUAUGGUUGAAAUUGAAGAACUGUCAUCAGAAAAUCUAGAAGAAGUUGAUUUCCUGUUGAAUGUGAGCUUUACUUUCCCAUCUGAAAACUGGGUUAUGUUUCUGAGAUUGGUGUUUGGUUCUAUCUGUUUUGGUGAUUCAGGUUGGGUUGCUCCUUCAAAGAUCCAUUCUUCUGGAAAAGUGAUAUUUUUCUAUUGAAUAGUUUUUGGAAUUGUUGUGUUGGCUUUAGAAAUGUCUGUUUGGAGGAAUAAGGUUUCUCUUUUGGUGAGUGAAGUUUAUGUUUCGACCCAAAGGCAGAAAUCAUGGCUUUGUAAUGUAUUUUGAAAAUCAAAGCUAUCGGGAUAGAUCCUUCAAGCAUUUUGUAAUUAUGCAUUUUCAUCUGGAGAACAAUACUAUUUAAAACAUUUUUGUCAUUUAAAGAAAUUGUAAUAUUUGGAAAACAAUUGAAACUAAUAGAUCCUUUGUUAAGACUUGACUUGAUAGUGCCUAAUAAAGAAUCAUAA
Long non-coding RNA from Ricinus communis (castor bean), 1060 nucleotides. RefSeq lists it as uncharacterized. NCBI's taxonomy places the organism in Eukaryota, Viridiplantae, Streptophyta, Magnoliopsida, Malpighiales, Euphorbiaceae. The transcript has 3 exons. The record is from RefSeq and is a predicted model, not a curated record.